RNAcentral lists this ribosomal RNA (198 nucleotides) under uncultured bacterium. Its description in RNAcentral is "partial 16S ribosomal RNA". It matches the Rfam family "Bacterial small subunit ribosomal RNA", at positions 328 to 539 of the family's 1533-position model. The record is from RNAcentral.
ACGCUCGACACCUACGGGAGGUAGCAGUGGGGAAUAUUGCACAAUGGGGGAAACCCUGAUGCAGCGACGCCGCGUGAGCGAAGAAGUAUUUCGGUAUGUAAAGCUCUAUCAGCAGGGAAGAAACUGACGGUACCUGACUAAGAAGCACCGGCUAAAUACGUGGCAGCAGCCGCGGUAAUCUGAGCGGGCUGGCAAGGC